This 702-nucleotide ribosomal RNA is filed under the name Escherichia coli. RNAcentral describes it as "partial 23S ribosomal RNA". It matches the Rfam family "Bacterial large subunit ribosomal RNA", at positions 2147 to 2843 of the family's 2925-position model. The record is from RNAcentral. Lineage: Bacteria; Pseudomonadati; Pseudomonadota; Gammaproteobacteria; Enterobacterales; Enterobacteriaceae.
GUGGGAGGCUUUGAAGUGUGGACGCCAGUCUGCAUGGAGCCGACCUUGAAAUACCACCCUUUAAUGUUUGAUGUUCUAACGUUGACCCGUGAUCCGGGUUGCGGACAGUGUCUGGUGGGUAGUUUGACUGGGGCGGUCUCCUCCUAAAGAGUAACGGAGGAGCACGAAGGUUGGCUAAUCCUGGUCGGACAUCAGGAGGUUAGUGCAAUGGCAUAAGCCAGCUUGACUGCGAGCGUGACGGCGCGAGCAGGUGCGAAAGCAGGUCAUAGUGAUCCGGUGGUUCUGAAUGGAAGGGCCAUCGCUCAACGGAUAAAAGGUACUCCGGGGAUAACAGGCUGAUACCGCCCAAGAGUUCAUAUCGACGGCGGUGUUUGGCACCUCGAUGUCGGCUCAUCACAUCCUGGGGCUGAAGUAGGUCCCAAGGGUAUGGCUGUUCGCCAUUUAAAGUGGUACGCGAGCUGGGUUUAGAACGUCGUGAGACAGUUCGGUCCCUAUCUGCCGUGGGCGCUGGAGAACUGAGGGGGGCUGCUCCUAGUACGAGAGGACCGGAGUGGACGCAUCACUGGUGUUCGGGUUGUCAUGCCAAUGGCACUGCCCGGUAGCUAAAUGCGGAAGAGAUAAGUGCUGAAAGCAUCUAAGCACGAAACUUGCCCCGAGAUGAGUUCUCCCUGACUCCUUGAGAGUCCUGAAGGAACGUUGAAG